UUUGAUCCUUUUGAAAGAGUUGCUCGUGCACAUCAUAUAUGUCCUUGUUGUGAACGACCUUUCUCACCUGAAGAAGAGGAUGAAUUUGUCAAGAAGGUCAGUAUGGUUGAAAGUAAAAUUAAAGCAGGCUACUGAUGUCAUUGUCCUAAGUGCUUUUGUUGAACCUCUUCCAAAUUUCAGCAAAGAGUUAAAAGUGCAAGUUCUGCAGAGCAUAUGAAACUAUUGGCUGUGGAGUCUUCAAAUGCUGAUACACAUUUCCAGCAGUUGGACAAGCUCCGCAUGAUAUAUGAGGAAUAUGUUAAACUUGGAAAGGAAGCAAUCCCUUUAGCAGAGAAAAAUCUGAAAGAACUCACAGAAGAUCUCAGUCAGAAGUCUCAGGCAUUUGACGAUGUAAUAUAACCUAUCUUUCGAUCCAGUAAACUCAGGUUUUCAUGUUGAAUGACUUUGGUGACUUGACUUCGUCAGUAUCUUAGCAAAUGUAGUUAUCUUAAUUCUUAACUGGGCAUAGAAGUUGCCUUAGAAUCAUUUUUAGUGGAUUUUUUGUGUGAUUUUCUGAACAUUCUGAAAUUAAAUUGAAGUCCCGUCUUUGCUACAAAAAUUUUCCAGAAUCCUAUUAAGUUGACAUCUUUCUUUCAUCAUGUGCUUUCACAAGUUUUCACAAGCAUGUGAGUAGCUUCUUUAUUGUUCUCAACUGUUACUUGUCAAUUAAUGUGCUUCCAUAUUUUUUCCAAAGCCGUGGUGCUCUGACAGGCACUUCCAGUUAUUAGGUGUGCAAAUUCUGUUACAGUUUUAAAUUUCAAGUUUGAUAAGUAGUUAUGGAGCUUGUGUUUAUAGCAUUUUAUUUUCUCUUUAGCCUGUCAUCUGUGUGAUCACACAUCUAGAGGUACAUAUGAUUCACUGACAAGCAAAGGUUGAGUUUUCAAAUCAAUGCUGACAACAUGUGCACGUACUAAGUUUGAUCUUUUUUUAUUUGUGAUCCUGGGAACCUUUUUUUUUAAUACAUACCCAAGAGAAUUUCUAGCAGAUUUUCUCGAAGUAUCUGCUUUGCUUAAAUAUAUUUGGCAGUUGGGUACUAACAUAUUAUAUGUGAAAGAUGCCAAUCUAAUGAAGGUAAACCUAAAAACUAGGAAUUUUUGUAGUAGUUGUGAAUUGAUAUACCUUUGUUCAAUUUUGGCUUUUGCAUUUGUUAUGUCAAGCUACUUGCAAAUCUUUUCUGAGGUAUCUAACACCACUUUGUUUUAUUCUUUUGUCAUCAGUUACUAAACAACUUCUUUUACUGUGGUUAGGUGAAUAUUAUAAAAUAGGUAUCAUUCUGACUUUGUUGUGGUGCUUGACUGCAGCUUGUAGGGGUUCUAGCUCAUGUUAAGACUGAGAAGGAUGCUGUAGAAGUUUUACUUCAACCAGUGGAAACUAUUGACCGGCUUUGGCAGGAAAUGGAGAAUUUGAAACCCCAAAUUGAAGAUUUGGAGUAUAAGCUAGAUUCUCGAGGACAAGGUGUCAGAUCUAUGGAGGAAAUUCAGCUACAGCUUAAUUCUCUGCAAAGCAAAAGGUAUUUCAUCAUUGGCAUCAGUUCCUGUUGGCAUGGAGGGAUGAGGAACUAAUAGUUUCCACAAAGCACCUUCAAUUAAUAAUUAAAAAUGGUUCAUCCCUAUGGAAUGAUCUUGCCCAGAUUGAGACGGGAGAAGGAUAUCAAAUCGUAUCCAGAUUUUGUGAUGUUUGCUAUCAGCGUGAUCUAUGGAAUUUGAGAUACUGAAUCUAGCCCUGGGCGUGAAAUUUAUUGUAGGAUCCCAUUAGUAUGAACAUUAAAUCUGAAUCUAGCACACCCAGGUUCUUGAUCUAAUAUAAAUUUUGAUUCAGGUUAUUUCUUCCAAUUAUUAGAAACUUCAUUUUAUGCCCACAACAGUUUGUUGUGAGUUAUUUACAACCUCAAAGUAAAUUUAAGAAUGAAUAAUGGUCAUCUAGAAAACCAGUUAGACUUGAUAGGAUUCUUUUGACAUCUUAUUCGUAUACAUUUUUUCUUAAUCUGCUACUUUCUGGAGUGAGAUACAUAAAUUCCUGGAUUUUAUUCACUGAUACUUUGAUUUUAAGGGCUUCAACCUUGAGACACAUAUAAUCACAAAUAUAACCAAUGUUUCCUAUACCAUCUAAAGGUGUCCCUUCUUCUGGAAGAUAUGUUGGAGCUUGUUAACAUCUCUUGACCUUCACUAGGAAUGAUCAAGCAUAACAUAUUAAGUUUGAUGGUUCUUAAUAUUUUGAUCCUUGUAAAGAAGGGCAGUCCAGUGCAUGAGGCUCCUACAUUAGCAAGUUUAGGGAACAGUUCAAUGUAUGCAACCUUAACCCUGCUAGCAAUGAGGCUUUUUCCAUGACCUGAAGUUUUGAACCAUGGUCAACUACAACGUUACUGUGGCACCAAGUCUUUCCCUUCACUGAGAAAUAUAUAAUAAUUUCAUCUUCUUGUUUUCAAAUAUUUGUCAGUUUGUUUUAUGGGUGCACCUUUAAUUAUUUUCCUUGGAAAGUCAUAAUUAAUUAUUAAGAAGUAAAAAAUGCAAUUAAGUGGCAAGCCUGUGCUAGACACUGGAUGGGCAUGUGCUGUCAAGUGUCAACAUAGUACAGUCUGCCGUCAUGCUCAUCCUGGCUGAAGAAAAAUGAAAGAAAGAAAAAAGAAACCAGAAGAGAGGAAAGAAGGCACAUUAUUACAUACCUGGCCAGUAGGUCCUGGGACUAUUGACAUGAUAACAUCUCUCAGAUCUUGUCAUCUUGCUACUCUACAUGGAAAAAGGAGGAAUUUUGUUUACAUACAUAUCAUUUGAACCAGUAUGGUCAGAUUCCUUCAAUUUCAUUGAGACAACAGAUGGUUACUCCCCAGGAACCUUCCUCUGUUUCUCUUGCU
This 2890-nucleotide long non-coding RNA is filed under the name Musa acuminata (dwarf banana). RNAcentral's name for it is "long non-coding RNA (MACU_LNC005037)". Lineage: Eukaryota; Viridiplantae; Streptophyta; Magnoliopsida; Zingiberales; Musaceae. The record is from RNAcentral.